Molecule: unclassified non-coding RNA, 250 nt
Filed under: fungal sp.
Lineage: Eukaryota; Fungi
Description: partial internal transcribed spacer region
Source: RNAcentral
CAAGGUUUCCGGUGAACCUGCGGAACAAACGUUAAAACCCCCCCCCGUUCCGCAAUCUCUGGUAAAUCAUAGCCCGGAGACUCUGGCUCCGAACAAUGGAACAGUUACAAUCGAGCGGGAUAGCGCUUCACGAUUCCUGUAGGGCAGGAGCUAUGCCAAAUGGGUCCCCAUGCCCCCUAACCCCACAGGUUAAUGUAAAGCUCAAUGUAAUACAUUUGGGGAAAAAACCGAACAACGUAUCUUGGUUCUC